Molecule: ribosomal RNA, 464 nt
Filed under: uncultured bacterium
Lineage: Bacteria
Description: partial 16S ribosomal RNA
Rfam family: Bacterial small subunit ribosomal RNA
Source: RNAcentral
ACGAACGCUGGCGGCGUGCUUAACACAUGCAGGUCGUACGGUAAGGCCCUUUCGGGGGUACCCGAGUGGCGAACGGGUGAGUAACACGUGAGUAACCUGCCCACAACUUUGGGAUAACGCUAGGAAACUGGUGCUAAUACUGGAUAUGUGCUCCUGCUGCAUGGUGGGGGUUGGAAAGCUCCGGCGGUUGUGGAUGGACUCGCGGCCUAUCAGCUUGUUGGUGGGGUAGUGGCCUACCAAGGCGGCGACGGGUAGCCGGCCUGAGAGGGUGACCGGCCACAUUGGGACUGAGAUACGGCCCAGACUCCUACGGGAGGCAGCAGUGGGGAAUAUUGCACAAUGGGCGCAAGCCUGAUGCAGCAACGCCGCGUGCGGGAUGACGGCCUUCGGGUUGUAAACCGCUUUCAGCAGGGACGAAGCUUUUUGUGACGGUACCUGCAGAAGAAGCACCGGCUAACUACGUG